Long non-coding RNA from Entelurus aequoreus (snake pipefish), 514 nucleotides. RefSeq lists it as uncharacterized. NCBI's taxonomy places the organism in Eukaryota, Metazoa, Chordata, Actinopteri, Syngnathiformes, Syngnathidae. The record is from RefSeq and is a predicted model, not a curated record. The transcript is spliced from 3 exons.
GUUCUUGAUCACGACACCAGGGAGCGCUAGUGGCCCAUGAGUCUAAACAUGGACUUAGACUUUACUUUCUAAUUGACAGUGUGUGUCCAUAAAAAAAAUUUCUAAGCCAAGAAAUUUAAGAAGAAAGUACCAAAUAAGGGAUUGGAGGUAGUGAGGACUGAGGAAUCACCAAUUGGAAGAGAGUCGAUCCAUGACCUGACUGCCAGAGUUGGUAUAGAUGAUCAUUUCCCACUGUGUCUUUCAGAGUGGUUAUGCUGCAGAAAACCUGACCAUGAUUGAGCACCUGAAUAUCUCCUCGGCCAUUUCAAAGUGGUCUUGGUGAAAAGCCAGCAGGCCAAGAAGAUUGCGAACGGCAUACUGUAAGUAUCCAGCUUCAGCCUCCAGCUCCCCCCUGAGACUCUCCUGUUUCAGGUAAGUGUCUCUGUGCCUCAGUUUUACCGGUCCAGGAGGAUCGCAGUUGAGGUUUAAGUCCAGGUGAAAGUGACCAGGGAUGUAUUCCAUAUCUUCCAUUAGA